CUACCCCCGCCUUGCUUCGGUUCGGGCGCAAGCCCGGAGCAAAAUGGGAACACGGUGCGGAGACCCGCUCUCCAAUGCCGCGACUGCCCCCGCAACUGUGAGCGGAGAGCGAGGCCUGUGUGCCACUGGGGGAUCCUCCCCGGGAAGGCCGGCCAACUCGCGAUGACCCGCAAGUCAGGAGACCUGCCGAGGCGAUCACCCUGAA
This 205-nucleotide non-coding RNA is filed under the name Vannielia litorea. The record is from RNAcentral. Lineage: Bacteria; Pseudomonadati; Pseudomonadota; Alphaproteobacteria; Rhodobacterales; Paracoccaceae.